UUUUAUUUUCCAUUUACAUCUCAGACAUUCAGCUGAUACCAUAAGCGUCUAGUCUUUACAAGAGUUUUUUUGUCUGAGAUUUUUGACUGAAUCCAUUUCCAGUCCAUUUUUGUUUUUACAAAUACUGUUUCAUUUUCUUGUCUGUCUGUCUAGAUUUCAGCAGGAACAAUGGCACACAGCAUUGGUAACAGCAUGGUAGCAAGGACAUUUACGUUGGAAACAACAAAGGGAAGAUUGGCGUUGAUGAUGUCAUCAAUAUUAGCGGAAGAACAGGAUCCCAGCCAAAUACUGGCAACUCAUGUAACACGGGAGGUGGAAGUGGAUUCAACUCUGCAUCCACUGCUUCAGGGAACACCAGCACUGCGAGGGAGGUAACAUCAGAGGUAACACAAGUAACAUGACAGUUGGAGACAAUGCAGGAGACAUUGGCCAAAGAACACCUGCAAUGUGAGCGGAGGAAAAGGAGUCAAAGUAGAUAUUGGCAACGUAAGAAAGAUGGAUGCCGGAUCCAACACAGGAGACAUCGGUGCAGGGAACAACUGCAAUGUAAUGGGAGGAGAAAGAGUCAAAAUAAGUAUUGGCAACAUAGGUUCCAUGGUAGUUGGAGACAACGCAGGGGGCAUUGGUGUGGGGAAAAACUGCAAUGUGAACAGAGGAAAAGGAGCUGAAAUUAAUAUUAGCAACGCAACAAACGCAUGGAUUGGGUUUAACUCCACAAUGUAAACAUGAACUAAUGAAAUCCCAGUCCAAAAGACCAUGGAACACCAAAAAAAACAAAAAAAACACCCCAAAUGAAAACCAAAUCAAGAAUUCUUUAUAAACUGUUGUGUGCCUUCUAUUGUCCCACAAUAAACUGUGUUGGAGAGAACUGUUUGAUUGUCU
Molecule: long non-coding RNA, 882 nt
Organism: Sander lucioperca (pikeperch)
Lineage: Eukaryota; Metazoa; Chordata; Actinopteri; Perciformes; Percidae
Exons: 7
Source: RefSeq, a predicted model, not a curated record